AGUGAACGCUGGCGGUAGGCCUAACACAUGCAAGUCGAACGGCAGCACAGUAAGAGCUUGCUCUUACGGGUGGCGAGUGGCGGACGGGUGAGGAAUACAUCGGAAUCUACUUUUUCGUGGGGGAUAACGUAGGGAAACUUACGCUAAUACCGCAUACGACCUACGGGUGAAAGCAGGGGAUCUUCGGACCUUGCGCGAUUGAAUGAGCCGAUGUCGGAUUAGCUAGUUGGCGGGGUAAAGGCCCACCAAGGCGACGAUCCGUAGCUGGUCUGAGAGGAUGAUCAGCCACACUGGAACUGAGACACGGUCCAGACUCCUACGGGAGGCAGCAGUGGGGAAUAUUGGACAAUGGGCGCAAGCCUGAUCCAGCCAUACCGCGUGGGUGAAGAAGGCCCUCGGGUUGUAAAGCCCUUUUGUUGGGAAAGAAAAGCAGCAGGUUAAUACCCCGCCGUUCUGACGGUACCCAAAGAAUAAGCACCGGCUAACUUCGUG
This 492-nucleotide ribosomal RNA is filed under the name uncultured bacterium. RNAcentral describes it as "partial 16S ribosomal RNA". It matches the Rfam family "Bacterial small subunit ribosomal RNA", at positions 29 to 507 of the family's 1533-position model. The record is from RNAcentral.